RNAcentral lists this ribosomal RNA (433 nucleotides) under uncultured bacterium. Its description in RNAcentral is "partial 16S ribosomal RNA". It matches the Rfam family "Bacterial small subunit ribosomal RNA", at positions 29 to 507 of the family's 1533-position model. The record is from RNAcentral.
AACGAACGCUGGCGGCAGGCCUAACACAUGCAAGUCGAGCGAGGACUUCGGUCCUAGCGGCGGACGGGUGUGUAACGCGUGGGAACGUGCCCUUUGCUUCGGAAUAGCCCUGGGAAACUGGGAGUAAUACCGGAUGAGCCCUUUGGGGGAAAGAUUUAUCGGCGAAGGAUCGGCCCGCGUUGGAUUAGGUAGUUGGUGGGGUAAUGGCCUACCAAGCCGACGAUCCAUAGCUGGUUUGAGAGGAUGAUCAGCCACACUGGGACUGAGACACGGCCCAGACUCCUACGGGAGGCAGCAGUGGGGAAUCUUAGACAAUGGGGGAAACCCUGAUCGAGCCAUGCCGCGUGAGCGAUGAAGGCCUUAGGGUUGUAAAGCUCUUUCAGCUGGGAAGAUAAUGACGGUACCAGCAGAAGAAGCCCCGGCUAACUCCGUG